Molecule: ribosomal RNA, 253 nt
Filed under: uncultured bacterium
Lineage: Bacteria
Description: partial 16S ribosomal RNA
Rfam family: Bacterial small subunit ribosomal RNA
Source: RNAcentral
UACAGAGGGGGCAAGCGUUGUUCGGAAUUACUGGGCGUAAAGGGCGCGUAGGCGGCCUGUUAAGUCGAACGUGAAAUCCCCGGGCUCAACCCGGGAACUGCGUCCGAUACUGGCAGGCUUGAAUUCGGGAGAGGGAUGUGGAAUUCCAGGUGUAGCGGUGAAAUGCGUAGAUAUCUGGAGGAAUACCGGUGGCGAAGGCGGCAUCCUGGACCGGCAUUGACGCUGAUGAGCGAAAGCUAGGGGAGCAAACGGG